This 1295-nucleotide transfer RNA is filed under the name Heterocephalus glaber (naked mole-rat). RNAcentral describes it as "lncRNA (ENSHGLG00000047947.1)". The record is from RNAcentral. Lineage: Eukaryota; Metazoa; Chordata; Mammalia; Rodentia; Bathyergidae.
CCACUCGGCCACCUCGUCGACAGGUCUCUGUCGUUAAGUUCUUCUCUCUGGGGUUUGAACUCUUACUCUUGCUGGCGUGGCUCGCCUGUAUUUUUGGGAAUCCUGCUUAGCACAACGAAGAAAACCGGCCGCUCAGAAACCUUCUUCAGACUGAACAUCCGGAGCUGCGCCUGUCCUCUGGAGCGCUGCUGGCCGUACAAAAUUACCAGGAUCCGCCACAAAACAACCCCGCAGGAUCACCGGGCUCCUUCGACGAGGAGUCCUUGAAAUUUUAUGAGAGAAGCCGGACAUCGGGUCUGGACAAGACUUAACAAAUAAGGGGACUUAAAGCGGACACAGAAAAACAAACUGACCCCGACGUGAUUUGAACACGCAACCUUCUGAUCUGGAGUCAGACGCGCUACCGUUGCGCCACGAGGCCAGCCGGCCCCUUCGUUGGGCAGCUCUGUCUUUGACUCUUGUUCGGCCAGGCGGCUGGAGGCCGGCAGCAGAGACCCGAGAUCUGAGCGCGGGUUGGUUGGACACGGCCGGUAGCUAAGCAGACUGAGGCUUUACGGCUCUGGCUUAUCCGUGCCUCCCACCCUGCCUUAGAGCCCUGUCAAAUACCAGGUGGAGGGCGCUGACCUGAUCGCCAGUGCCACCCAGAGCUCACAGCCCAGCGAGGUUCCGCCCAGAAUCAGACAGAAAGACGGAUACCAGGCAGACCAUGGUGAAGCUAUGUCAGAGUCCAGAAUACCCAAAGCGGUGGGCGAUGAGCUCCUCCAACAGGACGCAGAUUUCUGCGGAACCUUGAGAGAUACCCAGCUCAGUCCCCAGAAUGCUACACAUGUUCCCUGGCUUCAGCUAUCACCUGAAUGCUGAAGGCUCCUGCAUUCCACUUCUACUCUGGACUCAGAUGUUGUGUUCCUUCUGGACACUUUCUCUUGCCUGUCACUUCUUCUUCCUAGCCUUUCUGCACUCUAAUAGUGGGAGACUAUAACAUCAGCAGUGUUACAAUCCUAUCCCACGAUGUGGCCUCCUGACUUCUCCGUGGCACAAGCCUCCCCUGCUUCACCUGGCUGGUUUGGGAGCAGAGCAGACCAGUGAAGUAUGAUGGGCCCAUUCUGACCCAUCAAUCUGGAGACCACCAUUCAAUGUGGUAAUCUUCUGCACUAAGAGGGAAGGCAGCACAUGUCACUGGCAUGCAAUGAAGGAGCAGCUGUCUGGGAAGUAGGGGAAAGCCUGGAAGCCCCUAGCAGUGUCUCAGGUCCAGCAAUACAUAUAGAUUUCUCCUCUUGCCACUUCCUUCACUCAGG